GUCUCUCCUGUUUCCACUCAAGAGAGGAGAGAGGGGAGGUGGGCAGGAGGGAAUGAUACAGUCUCUCCUGUUUCCACUCAAGAGAGGAGAGAGGGGAGGUGGGGAGGAGGGAAUGAUACAGUCUCUCCUGUUUCCACUCAAGAGAGGAGAGAGGGGAGGUGGGCAGGAGGGAAUGAUACAGUCUCUCCUGUUUCCACCCAAGAGAGGAGAGAGGGGAGGUGGGCAGGAGGGUAUGACAGUCUCUCCUGUUUCCACCCAAGAUGUAAAUGCUCCUGCAUGUCAUCCAUCCAUCCAUCCUGCUCUCUGGUCCAGUGUCAUGUGUUUGUUGAUGAUCAUUAGUGUCAUAUGUACUGCGUAUGUUUUCAUUUCAUUCUGCAUAUUACACAUUUCAAAAUGUCUGUAUUAGUAUCAGCGGUUCAUCUUUCUUUGGCGAUGUUAAUAGGGAGCAUAAAAACUUCAUGUUUCUUUCUUUUUGUAUGUAUCCUUUGCUCUGUUUUAAAUUACACUCAAAAUAAAAUUCAUUCCCAUCCUCUGAACUUCA
Clupea harengus (Atlantic herring) is the source of this 541-nucleotide long non-coding RNA. RefSeq lists it as uncharacterized. NCBI's taxonomy places the organism in Eukaryota, Metazoa, Chordata, Actinopteri, Clupeiformes, Clupeidae. The transcript has 2 exons. The record is from RefSeq and is a predicted model, not a curated record.